GCGGGAACUACAAUGCCCAAAAUGCGCCAAGAUCAGACGCGCCCAGAGUGGGCCAAAGAAGCGAAGGGGUCUCGGGCGCCAUGUUAGGAGUACCGGGAACAGUCCGCGGAGCCUGGCCGAGGUUUUAGGCAGCGCGCGAGCCGAAUGGUGGUGCGGUGGGGACGAGUCUGUCUACACUAUGAAAGAUGGAAAAUUUCUUCCUGAGGGUGUCUGAAGGGUUAAAAAUACGAUACAUAUUUUGUUUUUCUCCACAGUUAUUCGGAAAACAAAAUUAUUAACUUGUUACUUUGGGUCAUUAAGGAUAUGCCUUUCGUCUCUCUGUUAGUAGUUAGUAAUAUUACAGCUGAUGGAUGGAUUCUCCUAUCUGGAGAAGCUAGGCAGAGUGAUUAAAAAUAAUAAAACAUGGUAGAAAUAGUCUUUCAGAUGUAUACAAAUGAUAACUACAAAAACUUAGAAGAAUCAUCUUCUGUCCUGUUUCUGGGAACAAGUCACAAGAUGAAAGGCUUUGUUUCAUUUUUAACAGAGGUAACAUGUGUUAGUCUCAUUUAUCUGUGCAGUACAACAAUGGGAAAGGCUCAUACAAAUAUUUCUCUUAUUCAGAACCACCUUCUUUUCAAAUAAUCAUGGCUUUUGUGGCUGCCUAUUUAACCAAACUUCUGCUGGAAGAAUAGUGCACUUUUAUGACCAUUCCAGAAAAGCAUAGCAAUGACCAAGGGCCUAGGUUUCCUUUGAGAAAUUACUGGUCCUAAAAGGGUGGUGUUUGCCCUUUAUACCAAUAUCAUCAAUAGUUACCAACCAAACCUGCCUGGGAUCCUCACAACCACUAUUAGAGAAAACUACUCAUUUGACCAGGAGAUUAAACUUGAACAAAACUUGUCUGUUCUUGCCUGGCUAUGAUUACCAAGACACAUUACCUCAAGAAGUCUGAGAAGGAUUCUUUUAAUUACUUCUGUGAGAAAGAUCACAAGUAGGCAGAAGGAGAGGGAGCAACAGGCUCCCCACUGAGCAGAGAGCCUGAUGUGGGACUCGAUCCCAAGACCCUGAGAUCAUGACCUGAGCUGAAGGCAGAUGCUUAACCAACUGAGCCACCCAGGUGCCCUCAAGCAUCCUUUUAAACUUGUAGUACUUGUAUGGGUCACGUGACAGUUUAUAUCUUGAAAAUAAUUAUAAAUAACUGCAUCAUUUAUUGACUUGGAAAGGGUAAAAUCAGUGACUAGUUGUAGGCCAAUGGGGGAUUAGAAACUCAGCUUUAAUAUUCACAGUGCUCCUUCAAAGCUAAUUAAAAUGUCUAGGGAACAGCUUGAUUCUAUCUUCUAACUCUCUUUCCCUUUUAUUUUUUUAUUUUUUAGCAACUUCAACAACCUUAGUCUUUUCAUGCAAAUAAGCAUUGUCUCCUUUCCUUUUAACACAACACUGCAAAACGACUAGCUCAUAAACCAUUCAGACGUUAUUGCUGUUAGUAGGUAACAUGCUAUUCUGCCUGGUACCUACACAGUUGGCAUGCAACAAUUGUUUAAUGGAUAAGACAGUUGUUAAAAUUUUGACAGAUUGCUUAGUCCUGUGAGCAAGCACUGACUUACAUCACCCCUUAUCACCUGAUGUUUUUGUGACAGAUUUUCUAUGAGUGAACUGUUUGAGACAUGAAGGAAAUAAAACAUUCAUUAAUUGAUAAUCUCCCCCACUCCUACCUGGACACAAGACUGAAUUUGGGAGUCCUUGAUUCCCAGUAUAUCAUAACAUCAUAACUUAUAGCCUGAAAGAAAGAGAGAGGGCCAUGGUAUUUGAGAAUAAAAUCUUAUUUAUUUAUACCUGAGCUUUAUGUCAUGAUGCUUAAUGCCAUGACCAUUAAGCCAUUCCUAUAACACUUAAGUGUAUCUUCUAAAGGAAGCCUGUGAAAUGUCUCCAGAAUGACUUGAGUUUUGGGAGGGGGGGGGGGGUUGUUUGUUUUAAGUAAGCUCUAGGCCCAAUGUGGGGCUGUAACUUAUGACCUGAGAUCAAGAGUCUCACACUCUACUAACGGAGCCAGCCAGUUACCCCAGAAUGACUUGAUUUUUAGUGGAAUUAAUUAUUAUUUUCUUUUGGGACCUGAUUCUUUCUGGUGAAACAGAUUCCAAAAUGAUGUAAUUUGUCAAAGACUGUUUCAUCUUCAGUAUCUUUAAAAAAAAAAAAAUGCAAUUAGGUAAAGCAUUUUUAAAUAGACUGCCUCCAUCUGAUCCAUUUUCUUGUUACCCGGUAAUGUUUUUCAUCAGCAGCCACAGCUCUGAAAGGACGUUAAAGAGUCUCUUGUUACAAACUUCAGCACUUAUGUUCAUAAUAGAACAUUAAGAUAGAUUGAAGGCUCCCAUAAUUAGCCUACACUCAGUCUUUUCCUACCUUUUGCCCUCUGAUUUCCUACUUAUAUUUUUGUAGUAACUGUGUUGAGGGUACAUGACCACUAAAUUGUAUGUUUCUUUGAGAGCAGGAACUAUACCAUAUUUAAUUUCACAUUUCUUUGUGUGCUUAAAACGGGACUUUUAUUUCUUCAGCAAAUAUUCACUGAGUAUCCACUAGGUGUCAGAUAUACUAGGUAGAUUCUAGGGACAUCAAGAUAACUAAGUACAGACAUGCUCUUGGGAAUCUGUCUUAAGCGGGAGAGGUGGCAAAAGAUAUUUGUAAGCCAAACAAAAACAACAACCCCUGCAGUGUAAUAUGAUGUUAUAGUGGAAUAGGCUAUUUCCUCAUUUAAGAGGACUUAAAAAAAUCAUUUCCAAAAAUAUCUCCCCGAUAAGCUUGCCUCAGUUACUAAGUUUCCACCAUUAUUGCAUUGUGAUUGCCUCUGGGCAGGAAAACUAAGGGGCAUCAAUGGCUGUGGAAUUAAUUUUUCCUCUUUUUAAAAUCUUUUUGUUAAUUUUACAUACAGUAAGAUUCAUUUUUUAUAUAUAAUUUCUUGAGUUUUGACAAAUACAUGGAAGUCCUGUAAUCACCACCACAACCAAGAUACAGAACAGUUCCAUCGCCUCAAAAAGUUCUUUUGUACUACCCCUUUUAAAAUUUUAUGUAUUUCAUUAUUUUGGUACAAUUGUUUUUCAAAAGGUAAGGUUUGGCUGUUUCAUGUACAUCUUUUCCUUAUCAAAAAUGUAUGUCUUUGGGUUAAGACAGUACCGCUUCUAAUAAGCCUCUGGAGAAAUACAGAUAUCCAAAGAAGGAUAUCCAAAACCUUACACCAUUUAAGUCAUCUGCACUUUAGUUGGUAGAUCAUGCUGUUGAAAAGAAUUAGGAUUCAGAAAAGGUAAACAAUGUAUGUGGUGUGUGUAUGUUAGAUUAGUAAGAGGAUAGUAGUUGUGGUAGAGGAGGAGAUUAGGGCCUGACAGUGGAACAGCAUGCAUAGAAGGAUAAGAGUAGCAUGUUUUUGAAUAGUGUAAGGUCCCUGGGUUCUCAAAGAUACAAGGGGCACAAAAGAAGGGAUGAGUCCUGAAGAGGGGUAGACUUCAUGUAAAGAUUAGUCAGUCUGUUGUUAUCUGGAACUACUGUCCUGGGAUUCUAGAACUGGCUCUGCCAGUAAUUCAUUCUUGAAAAGUCACUUUCGUUUUUCUGGGACUCAAUUUAAUCAUCUACAAAAAACAAUUGGAAUAAGUAUACUCUCAAGCCUAUUUGAGUAUAUUCUCAAGUUUAUUCCAACCCAGGUGAAACUUUUGGGUAUGUGUGUCUGAGGGGAGUGGUGAGUUUCUGUCGCAUUUUAACUGGAGAGGCGUAUCUGUAGAUAAUGAUAACCAAACUUUAACAAUUAUUAAGAUCCUUUAAAAUGUCAUGUAGUUGAUAUCAGAAGCUGCAAAGCAAAGUUAUUACUGAUCUCUUUGGGGCUCCAUUGAUCUAGCUUUCUGGCCCUUAGUCUUCUCAUUUGUAGAAUAACUAGAUACAUGUUCCUUGCAGUUUCACAUUUUAUGAAAGUGAAACCUAUUAAAACUUACCAGUGUUAUUUCUUUUCUCAUUUCCUCUGUACCUAUUCUGAUUUUACUUUUUUAAGUUAUUAGUCACUAUUCAUUUAGCACUUCUGUGUGCCAGAAUUUGUAAUGUAGUGUAUUUCACCUAUGUUAUUUAAGAAAUUUUACAGUGCUGCUGUCCUUUGUAAGUGUACAAGUAUGGGAAACUCACACCAUGCCUCCUACCCCCAUCCAGGAUAACAUAUUCCUACAACAAGAUCUCAUUUUAGUGAAUAUUAAAACUAGCAUUGGAGAGGGGAAGAAGGAAGGAAGAUGUGUGUGGCUUUCAAUUGGUAAGUGAAGGGAAAAGAACUGAGUUGAGGACGUACUGUGUGCUAGGUACCUUAUAUGUGCCUAUCUUCUUUAGGUCAUUGUUAAAGGCAGACAGGAAGGGAGCCUAUUUAUCUUGGUAACAAAAGGGAAAAAAUUCUUUCAUCCCACAAGUCAUUGGAAUUAUUCAGAAUAUAAAUUUUUUCGUGUCAUUCUCUCCUAUGAGGGCACAGACAACAUAAUUCUUCUACAUAAUGUUUGGCAAAUAUUUAUGAAAUGAAUAGGCUUUUUUCUCCUGUCCUUGGAGCAGAGGUCCUUUGGGUCCAUGGACCUCUAAGAAUUUUAUAAAAGCUACGGACCCACCAAGUAUGUCUCCUCUCCUACUACACAAACACAACAAAAUAAAAAAUAGUCAACUCCCUCUCCUUGCCCUAAGUCACUCCACAUAUGUAUUUGUGCAAAAUCCAUGAUUUUGGAAUCUUUUCCACCUUUCUGUGAUUUAUUCGUGUGUCCCAGGUUAAGAACUCAGUUCUAGAAACAUCUCUGGGUAUCUAGACAGCCUAGGAGCUUAAUUCCAUUAACUUGUAAUGCUUAUAGAGCUGUCAUCCUUUAUUGGUCCUUUUCAGGUUUGAGAAAAUUGCACCAUGCCUCUUGACUGUUCGUUUUGUUUUGUUUUUUUCUAUGAGCAGAAAUUAUAUCCAACUUGCUCUUUGGUUCAUUAAUACGUGCUACAACCAAAGAACAGCAUUAUAUUUUUAAGGGUUUUGGAGUAGGAAUUGUUUAAUUUUACAGAUGAAGAAAUUAAGGUUUGUCCCAAGUUUAUUAUAUGUGAGUAUCAUAUCUCUGGCUUUCUAAAUGGAAUGAUUCCCCUUCUUCCCUCCCUCCCUCCCUUCCUUCCUCCCUCCCUCCUUCCUUUCUUCCUUCUCAUUCAGAAACCCACUUAAAGUAUUGUUAGGCCAGUGUCCUCAUCUGUGAAAUUUUAUCUGGGUAGAGAAAGAUGUUGAAAAAAAAAAUGACCUUGUUUCAUAAUGGAAGACGAUGACCUAUAAAACAAAUAUUCUAAGUAAUUCCAAAUACGGUAUGAGAACCCCCCAUAAAGCAGUGAGAAAUUGGUUAAAGGAAAACAAUGUUGUGUAAACUCUACACUUUUCCAAACACAAGGCCCUUAAUUUGUUAUAAAAUCCAGGGCAUACUACAGAGAAGUUAUUUGGAUGUUUAUCUAAUCUCCAGUACCUCCUGUGCUCUUACUUGACAGCAAGAUGGCAUCUCAUCCAGGCUUGUGAUGGAGGAAAAUGGAGUUGUUGAUUAUUAUUAUUAUUAUUAUUAAAGUGGAAAAAAUAGAGAUUUUGUCAAUCAGAUGGAUUAAUAUUUUAAGCACUUAUUAUGUGCCAGGAGCUUUUUAAUUUCUGGGUGAAGAGUAACAGAGUCCCCAUUGUACACUUAACCACAGGGUACAUACACAGUUACAGUUAACAUUUGAGUGCUUACUGUAAGCAAAAGCAUUGCUCCAGCUGCAUUUGCAUUAAUUUCAUUCACAGGUUUCUCAGUCUUUGUAAUAACUCAGUAAAAUACUGUUAACCUUCUCAUCACUAACAAGAAAACUGUAGUUUAAAGAGAUUAAAGGGCGCCUGGGUGCCUCAGUGGGUUAAGCCUCUGCCUUCUGCUCCGGUCAUGAUCUCAGGGUUCUGGAAUAGAGCCCAGCAUCGAGCUCUGCUCAGCAGGGAGCCUUUCCUCCUCUCUGCCUGCCUCUCUACCUACUUGUGAUCUCUAUCUGUCAAAUAAAUAAAUAAAUAAAUAAAUAAAUAGAAAAAAUUUUAAGAGAUUAGAAAUUUACCCAUCAAUGUUGCAAAGCUGAGACUUUGAACCCUGGUUGAUUUGACUCUGAAGUCUGUACUCCAUUCCAGAACACUACCAAAGCCUCUAAUAUAUAACCAUUAAUCUUUACUGUCAUUUGCUGUCCAUAGUGGGGAGACCAUAAUGGUGGGAUUAAGGGGGAGUUACCCGGCCUUUUCUGAGAGAAGUGGUGCCUUCCCCCACAAACAAGUUUGAUGUGGUGAAAUCAGGUUAGGAAGAUAAAAAAGGUUGAAGAAGGUGGAGGUGGCGUGGUUGAACCUGUUCAGGAACUGAUUACAUCUGAGCCUCUGGCCCUUUUACCUGCCAGCUGACUCAGAGCUGGCCGAUGGGCCAAAGCCCAGGCAGGUUAAUUUCAUGGGCUGUAUACUUCAAAGGAUCUGAUUCCUGGCACUGCUCUGCACGUUGCUUUUCAGAGGGCAGAGUCUUGUGGGGGAGGGAACAGGAUGGCUUCCAGGAAGUGUUUGCAAAAGACCAAGGCAGUGUUUGCUCUAAAUCCAAAUAUAUGCAGCUUGUUCUACCGCUGGCAAUAAAAAAUAAAAUAAAAUAAAAAAUAAAAUAAAAUAAAAAAUAAAAUAAAAUAAAAUAAAAAAUAAAAUAAAAAAAGAUUAGCCCUAAGCAUGCCUUAAAAUUGGGUACUUAAAUCUUAAGUAUUCCUCUGCAGUAAAUAUAGCAAUUAAGAAUAUGAAUCCUAUGAAUACUCAGCCUUUGUAUCAACAUGGACGGGACUGGAGGAGAUUAUCUGAGUGAAAUAAAUCAAGCAGAGAGAGUCAAUUAUCAUAUGGUUUCACUUACUUGAGGAGCAUAAGGAAUAACAUGGAAGACAUUAGGAGAAGGAAAGGAAAAAUGAAUUGGGGGAAAUAGGAGGGGGAGGCCAACCAUGAGAGACUGUGGACUCUGGGAAACAAACCAAGGGUUUUGGAGGGGAGGGGAGUGGUGGGAUAGGUAAGCCUGGUUGUUGGUAUUAAUGUAUGGAGCACUGGGUGUGAUGGGUGUGAUGUAUAAAUAAUGAAUUUUGGAACACUUGAAAAAAAUAAAAAAUUUUUUAAAAAGAAUGUAAAAAAAAAAAAUGAACCCUAGAGUUAGACCUGAAUUUCAAUAUUGGUUCUACCACUAACCUGUGAAUAAAUUGAUUACUAUGCCUUAGUUUUCUCAUGUGCAAAAUGGGGAUUAAGUACCUGCUUUAUAGACGUGUUGUGAAGGUUAAAGUGAGUACAAAGUAUUGAGUAUAAAGCAUAUAUCACAGUACCUGAGACAUAGUAAAUUCUCUUGAAAAACAAUCAUUCAGAGAAAAUUCAUAUUUUAUAAGAGAAUCUCCAGGCUUUAAUUCAUUUUUCUUUUACUUAAAAUACAUUUAAAAAGCAUCUAUUAUUGUAUUCCAUGGCAGGGAUAGGGAAAACAAGAACUUUUGUUGAACAUGUAAAAUAAGCCAAAUAUAUUUUAAAAUAUAUUGUCUCAUUUAAUGUUCACAGCAACCCUACGAAGUAUUUUCCUACCUUAUUAAUGAGACCUUAGGUUGAGAGAAGUUCAGUAGCAUGCCUAAGAUUGAAUAGUGAGCACUCUGUAACUCCAAAACCUGUGAAUAAAAUACCCUUUAUCCCCACUAGAACAUAUUAUUCAGCAAGCAGUCAGACACAUAAACAAAUACCUACAUUCAAAGUGCUGUUAUUGGGGUUUAUACUGUGUGCCUGGGAGCAGAAAGCAGGGAAGAUGAACUGAGCGGGGAUGUGCCUGGGUGGAAUAAAGUUCAUCUUCUUGACAGGAAUAAAUAAUAAUAGUGGGGCUUUGGGCAGGAAUGAGAUAGGGGGCUUUUGCUAGUGGAGAAGGAAUUAAGAGAGGUCUUCCUGGGUCUCCUCAAGUCACAUUAAAAGAGGGAUUAGCAUUAUGACAAGCAUAAUUGCAGCAAAUAUAAUUACAGGCAAAAGAACUGUCUCCAGAAAGACCAGAUUAUGUUGUUUACUUGAUGUAAAAUGGUGGGGGUUAUAUACAAAUAAUUUCUGUUAGCAUCAGAAGUGUCUGUACCUCCUUGGGCUUUGUAAUGAACAAUAAUAGCAACUAACUACAUGAUCAUUAGAUACUGGUCACUACUGUUUUCACAGGCCAGAACUUUUUUUUUUUUAAGAGAGGAGGAGAGAAGAGAAGGGGCAGAGGGAGAGAGACUCUUACGUAGUCUCCAUGCAGCAUGGAGACCAACUCAGUCUAGAGAUCAUGACCAGAGCCAAAAAUCAAAAGUUGGGUGCUUGCCAAACUCAGCCACUCAGGUGCCCGUCACAGACCAGAGCUCUUAACUAGAGAAAGGUGGAAAGGGUUUGUCUAAGCCGCUAAUCUCAAAUUAAAUACACAUAAUUGGGGCAAAUAAGCUAAACUAUUUACAAGAAUUAUUUUAAUCUUCAUGACAUACUAGGUUGGUAGAAGCUAACAAAUUUUUCACUAAAACAUUUUCCUUUUUUCUCCUGGGCACACAAAAGGACUACAUUUCCUGGACUUCCUUACAGCCACAUUUUGUUCUGGCCAAUGAAAAAUGACCAGAGGUGAUGAACAUCAUCUUCAGGUCUGACCCAUGAAACUCACCCUUUUAAUUCUCCAGGCUCGCUUCCCUCAUCUGGGAGAGGAUCCAGCAAAACCAGUAGUACAAGAGCCUGUCUUUUCCUCCCCCCUACCUCCGGCCUUUACUGGAUUGUGAUAUGAACCAGAAAUAAACUUGUACUGUGUUAGGUCAUUGAGAUGUGGGGGUUGUUUGUUAUAGCAGUUCAUGUAUCCUAAUACAACAAGAUCUGACAAGAACCCAGAGAAGGAGAGAGAAAUUGUUUACAGUGUCUGGCACAUGAUACACAAUAAAAAAGGUGAUUAGCCUCAUUAAUUUAAGAAGCAUGAAUGUUACUUUUAUGAGAGAGCUUACGAGCAACUAUCUAAAAGUCCUCUGGGUAAAGUGGGAGAAAAUGUUGGGAAUCACUGACAAUACACUUUGGUUUCCAAAGCUUUUCACGUAUACAAUGGGCAUACCUUAAGGAAUGGACAUACCACCCCUGCAAUACCUCAUACUCUGUAGCCUGCUAAAUCAGUAAAGCACAUUUCUUUUAAGUUUUAUAAAAAUAUGUGACAAGUACAAAUACAAUUUUUAUUCAUACUUGGAAUUCUUCCUCCUUUUAAAAUUUUUUUUAGGAUUGUAUUUAUUUAGAGAGUGAGAGAUCAGGAUGGGUCAGAGGGAGAAGCCCAGAGUCUGAUGGUCUCAGGACCAUGAUGUCAUCACCUGCGCUGAAAUUAAGAGUCGGGUGCUCAACCGACUGAGCCACCCAUGUACCUCUCCUUCCUCCAUCUUGAUGAGUUUUUCCUCAUUUAUUCAGAUCUAAGGGCUAAAAUGUGUGUUUUAAAUUUCUCAAGUUAUUUUUCUCUCAGUAGUUUCCUUUGCUCUAACAUGGUUUCUGGCCAUUACAGUACUUAGCUGGAACUGUAUUUUUAAUCUUGAGAAAUUGAAUUCCUAUAAUUUGGCCUUGAUCACUGAGUGAUCUCAAUUUUUUUUUUAAAGAUUUUAUUUAUUUAUCGGGGUCGGGGGGAGCGAGCACAGGCAGACAGAAUGGCAUGCAGAGGCAGAGGGAGAAGCAGACUCCCUGCUGAGCAAGGAGCCCGAUGUGGGACUCGAUCCCAGGACGCUGGGAUCAUGACCUGAGCCGAAGGCAGCCGCUUAACCAACUGAGCCACCCAGGCAUCCCUCAAAUUUUUGAUGUAGUAACUACUACUGUAUUUUCUUCUUCCUCCUUCAUACUUACUUGCAAAGUUGAUUCCUGUGGAAUUGCAUGGAUUGCUACUUAGGCUCCUGGCUUCACAUUUUCUUUAUUUCUUCUUGCCUUGGGUGAAUCAGAAUAUUAGCAUAGCCUUCUGAGACAUUUUGUUGCUACUACCCUUAUCAUGUUCCUCCCCUCAGUCUUACAUUUUCAAAACAUUCAGGAGGUAGAGGAUUGGUUUUGAAGCCUUAAUAAAUGUUCAAAGAAGCUAUGUGGCUUAGAGGAAGCAAACAGGAUUUGCAUGCAGACAGACUUGAUUUCCAUCCCUGACAUAACCGCCAACCAGCUCUAUAUGACAUUGGUCAGUUAUUCAACUUUUUAAGAGACACAGCUAAAACAGAGAUGGUAAAACUCACUUUGCAAAGAUGAGUAAGAUAUGUAAGCUAAUUUCACUUUUGAAUAUGGAUACAAAAAUCUUAAAAUACUAGCAAACCAAACCCAAAAUAUACCCCAUAGCCAUUUAUUAAUAUCAAGAAUAUAUGUUUGGUUUAAUAUUUUUAAAAACAAAUGUAGGGGCACCUGGGUAGCUCAGUGGAUUAAGCCUCUGCCUUUGGCUCAGGUCAUGGUCUCAUAGUCCUGGGAUUGAGCCUUGCAUGGGGCUCUCUGUUCAGUAGGGAGCCUGCUUCCCCCUCUCUCUCUGCCUGCCUCUCUGCCUACGUGUGAUCUCUCCCUCUCCCUCUGUCAAAUAAAUAAAAUCUUUUGCAAUAAAUAAAUAAAUAGAAACAAAUGUAGUUUAUACCUUACCUGAUUGAUGGGAUAAGCAUAAAUGGUCAUAACAAUAGAUGCAGAAAAAUUUUUGAUAAAAUUUAACAUCCAUUCAUAAAAACAAAACUCUUGCCAAACUGGGAGUAGAAGAGAACUUCUUACAUUGACAAAGGAUAUCUAUUUAAAAAAUUGUGCUUAAAGAAGCAAAAGGUUUCUUAAAUUGAUAAAGGAUAACUUCAAAAAAAGUAUAUCAUACUUAAUGGUUAAAGAGAAUAACUGAGGCGCCUGAGUGGCUUGGUCAAUUAAGUGUUUGACUUGUGAUUUCGGCUCAGGUCCUGAUCUCGUAGGUUAAACCCUGCAUCAGGCUCCAUGCUGAGUGGGUAAUCUGCUUGAGAUUCUCUCUCCCUCUUUCUGCUCCUCUCCCCCACUCUCUCUCUGUCAAAUAAAUAAUUAAAGCAAUAUGGAAAAAGUAUCACUUUGAGGUCAAGAAUAAGAGACUUCUUAGAUGUUUGUCUGGCUUAGUUUGGUAGGGCAUGUGAUUCAUCAUCUUGGAGUUGUGAGUCAAGCCCCACGUUGUGUGUAGAGAUUGCUUUUAUUCAUUUAUUUUAAGAUUUUAAUUUUAAGUAAUCUCUACACCCAAUGUGGGGCUCAAACUCACAACCCUGAGAUCAAGAGUCACACACUCUACCAACUGAGCUAGCCAGGGACCCCAGAGAUCACCUUAAUAAAUAAAUAAAUAAAUAACAUAACAUAAUUAAAAAAAAAAAA
Mustela lutreola (European mink) is the source of this 11335-nucleotide long non-coding RNA. RefSeq lists it as uncharacterized. The transcript has 4 exons. The record is from RefSeq and is a predicted model, not a curated record. Lineage: Eukaryota; Metazoa; Chordata; Mammalia; Carnivora; Mustelidae.